UGAUAUUCGAGAAAGUGCAAUUCUGGAAGGUUACAGAUGCAAAUAUGAUAGAUGCAAUGGUUUCUUGCUUCGUGAUUCUGAUGACAAAGGCUUUGUGUGCCAACAGUGUGGCCUCCUUAGAAGCAAGGAAGAGGUGAAAAAGAUAGCAGCUGAAAUACGAGCAACUUCAGACAAGGCUUCCAGAAUUGCACUUUCUCGAAUAUCA
Molecule: unclassified non-coding RNA, 205 nt
Filed under: Hevea brasiliensis (rubber tree)
Lineage: Eukaryota; Viridiplantae; Streptophyta; Magnoliopsida; Malpighiales; Euphorbiaceae
Source: RNAcentral